Molecule: ribosomal RNA, 2902 nt
Filed under: Escherichia coli DEC1A
Lineage: Bacteria; Pseudomonadati; Pseudomonadota; Gammaproteobacteria; Enterobacterales; Enterobacteriaceae
Description: bacterial LSU rRNA
Rfam family: Bacterial large subunit ribosomal RNA
Source: RNAcentral
UUAAGCGACUAAGCGUACACGGUGGAUGCCCUGGCAGUCAGAGGCGAUGAAGGACGUGCUAAUCUGCGAUAAGCGUCGGUGAGGUGAUAUGAACCGUUAUAACCGGCGAUUUCCGAAUGGGGAAACCCAGUGUGUUUCGACACACUAUCAUUAACUGAAUCCAUAGGUUAAUGAGGCGAACCGGGGGAACUGAAACAUCUAAGUACCCCGAGGAAAAGAAAUCAACCGAGAUUCCCCCAGUAGCGGCGAGCGAACGGGGAGGAGCCCAGAGCCUGAAUCAGUGUGUGUGUUAGUGGAAGCGUCUGGAAAGGCGCGCGAUACAGGGUGACAGCCCCGUACACAAAAAUGCACAUAUUGUGAGCUCGAUGAGUAGGGCGGGACACGUGGUAUCCUGUCUGAAUAUGGGGGGACCAUCCUCCAAGGCUAAAUACUCCUGACUGACCGAUAGUGAACCAGUACCGUGAGGGAAAGGCGAAAAGAACCCCGGCGAGGGGAGUGAAAAAGAACCUGAAACCGUGUACGUACAAGCAGUGGGAGCCUCUUAAUGGGGUACUGCGUACCUUUUGUAUAAUGGGUCAGCGACUUAUAUUCUGUAGCAAGGUUAACCGAAUAGGGGAGCCGAAGGGAAACCGAGUCUUAACUGGGCGUUAAGUUGCAGGGUAUAGACCCGAAACCCGGUGAUCUAGCCAUGGGCAGGUUGAAGGUUGGGUAACACUAACUGGAGGACCGAACCGACUAAUGUUGAAAAAUUAGCGGAUGACUUGUGGCUGGGGGUGAAAGGCCAAUCAAACCGGGAGAUAGCUGGUUCUCCCCGAAAGCUAUUUAGGUAGCGCCUCGUGAAUUCAUCUCCGGGGGUAGAGCACUGUUUCGGCAAGGGGGUCAUCCCGACUUACCAACCCGAUGCAAACUGCGAAUACCGGAGAAUGUUAUCACGGGAGACACACGGCGGGUGCUAACGUCCGUCGUGAAGAGGGAAACAACCCAGACCGCCAGCUAAGGUCCCAAAGUCAUGGUUAAGUGGGAAACGAUGUGGGAAGGCCCAGACAGCCAGGAUGUUGGCUUAGAAGCAGCCAUCAUUUAAAGAAAGCGUAAUAGCUCACUGGUCGAGUCGGCCUGCGCGGAAGAUGUAACGGGGCUAAACCAUGCACCGAAGCUGCGGCAGCGACACUAUGUGUUGUUGGGUAGGGGAGCGUUCUGUAAGCCUGUGAAGGUGGCCUGUGAGGGUUGCUGGAGGUAUCAGAAGUGCGAAUGCUGACAUAAGUAACGAUAAAGCGGGUGAAAAGCCCGCUCGCCGGAAGACCAAGGGUUCCUGUCCAACGUUAAUCGGGGCAGGGUGAGUCGACCCCUAAGGCGAGGCCGAAAGGCGUAGUCGAUGGGAAACAGGUUAAUAUUCCUGUACUUGGUGUUACUGCGAAGGGGGGACGGAGAAGGCUAUGUUGGCCGGGCGACGGUUGUCCCGGUUUAAGCGUGUAGGCUGGUUUUCCAGGCAAAUCCGGAAAAUCAAGGCUGAGGCGUGAUGACGAGGCACUACGGUGCUGAAGCGACAAAUGCCCUGCUUCCAGGAAAAGACCUCUAAGCAUCAGGUAACAUCAAAUCGUACCCCAAACCGACACAGGUGGUCAGGUAGAGAAUACCAAGGCGCUUGAGAGAACUCGGGUGAAGGAACUAGGCAAAAUGGUGCCGUAACUUCGGGAGAAGGCACGCUGAUAUGUAGGUGAAGCGACUUGCUCGUGGAGCUGAAAUCAGUCGAAGAUACCAGCUGGCUGCAACUGUUUAUUAAAAACACAGCACUGUGCAAACACGAAAGUGGACGUAUACGGUGUGACGCCUGCCCGGUGCCGGAAGGUUAAUUGAUGGGGUUAGCGGUAACGCGAAGCUCUUGAUCGAAGCCCCGGUAAACGGCGGCCGUAACUAUAACGGUCCUAAGGUAGCGAAAUUCCUUGUCGGGUAAGUUCCGACCUGCACGAAUGGCGUAAUGAUGGCCAGGCUGUCUCCACCCGAGACUCAGUGAAAUUGAACUCGCUGUGAAGAUGCAGUGUACCCGCGGCAAGACGGAAAGACCCCGUGAACCUUUACUAUAGCUUGACACUGAACAUUGAGCCUUGAUGUGUAGGAUAGGUGGGAGGCUUUGAAGUGUGGACGCCAGUCUGCAUGGAGCCGGCCUUGAAAUACCACCCUUUAAUGUUUGAUGUUCUAACGUUGGCCCGUAAUCCGGGUUGCGGACAGUGUCUGGUGGGUAGUUUGACUGGGGCGGUCUCCUCCUAAAGAGUAACGGAGGAGCACGAAGGUUGGCUAAUCCUGGUCGGACAUCAGGAGGUUAGUGCAAUGGCAUAAGCCAGCUUGACUGCGAGCGUGACGGCGCGAGCAGGUGCGAAAGCAGGUCAUAGUGAUCCGGUGGUUCUGAAUGGAAGGGCCAUCGCUCAACGGAUAAAAGGUACUCCGGGGAUAACAGGCUGAUACCGCCCAAGAGUUCAUAUCGACGGCGGUGUUUGGCACCUCGAUGUCGGCUCAUCACAUCCUGGGGCUGAAGUAGGUCCCAAGGGUAUGGCUGUUCGCCAUUUAAAGUGGUACGCGAGCUGGGUUUAGAACGUCGUGAGACAGUUCGGUCCCUAUCUGCCGUGGGCGCUGGAGAACUGAGGGGGGCUGCUCCUAGUACGAGAGGACCGGAGUGGACGCAUCACUGGUGUUCGGGUUGUCAUGCCAAUGGCACUGCCCGGUAGCUAAAUGCGGAAGAGAUAAGUGCUGAAAGCAUCUAAGCACGAAACUUGCCCCGAGAUGAGUUCUCCCUGACCCUUUAAGGGUCCUGAAGGAACGUUGAAGACGACGACGUUGAUAGGCCGGGUGUGUAAGCGCAGCGAUGCGUUGAGCUAACCGGUACUAAUGAACCGUGAGGCUUAACCUU